Molecule: microRNA precursor, 278 nt
Filed under: Medicago truncatula (barrel medic)
Lineage: Eukaryota; Viridiplantae; Streptophyta; Magnoliopsida; Fabales; Fabaceae
Description: MIR2655 microRNA precursor family
Rfam family: MIR2655 microRNA precursor family
Source: Rfam by way of RNAcentral
CCCCUAACUAUUAAAAGUUUCGUUUUGGUCCCUUAACUUAUUUUUUGAUUUCGUUUUGGUCCCUUAACUCUUCCUCCGUCAACCACUUUGGUCCUUUAUGUUAGGAUGAAUGUAUUAGAGUUAAGGACCAAAACGAAAUCAAAAAAUAAGUUAAGGGACCAAAACGAAAUCAAAAAAUAAGUUAAGGGACCAAAACGAAACUUUUAAUAGUUAAGGGACCAAAACAAAACCAAAAAAUAAAUUAAGGAACAAAAACGAAACUUUUAAUAGUUAAGGGA